Non-coding RNA from Schizosaccharomyces pombe (fission yeast), 338 nucleotides. The record is from the annotation of a GenBank genome assembly. NCBI's taxonomy places the organism in Eukaryota, Fungi, Ascomycota, Schizosaccharomycetes, Schizosaccharomycetales, Schizosaccharomycetaceae.
AGCACAAUUGUCCCAAAAUAUGGAAUUUUCGCUUGGCAAAAAAAAAACCGAAGGACAUAUGAUUUAUAUUGAUUUUAUUUGUACAACUUUUUUAUUUGUAAAGAAAUAACUCAAAAAUUAGAUGCCACGUUUAUGCCGCACACCGAUAUUUAACGAACAAAUAACUCAGACUAUUAAAUUAAAUUAUAAGAAAAAGAAUCAUUUAGCAAAACUACGUAAAAAUAAAAAGGUCAUUUGAAAAUUUUCUAUUUUUUUACGAUAGCAUUGAGUUAUUAAUACUUUCGUAAUCGUCUUUACUUUGUGAAUUGCUAUGGGAAACAAGCGAUAUUUUAACCUUG